ACGGUGCUGAAGCAACAAAUGCCCUGCUUCCAGGAAAAGCCUCUAAGCCUCAGGUAACAUCAAAUCGUACCCCAAACCGACACAGGUGGUCAGGUAGAGAAUACCAAGGCGCUUGAGAGAACUCGGGUGAAGGAACUAGGCAAAAUGGUGCCGUAACUUCGGGAGAAGGCACGCUGACACGUAGGUGAAGUGGUUUACCCAUGGAGCUGAAGUCAGUCGAAGAUACCAGCUGGCUGCAACUGUUUAUUAAAAACACAGCACUGUGCAAACACGAAAGUGGACGUAUACGGUGUGACGCCUGCCCGGUGCCGGAAGGUUAAUUGAUGGGGUCAGCGCAAGCGAAGCUCCUGAUCGAAGCCCCGGUAAACGGCGGCCGUAACUAUAACGGUCCUAAGGUAGCGAAAUUCCUUGUCGGGUAAGUUCCGACCUGCACGAAUGGCGUAAUGAUGGCCAGGCUGUCUCCACCCGGGACUCAGUGAAAUUGAACUCGCUGUGAAGAUGCAGUGUACCCGCGGCAAGACGGAAAGACCCCGUGAACCUUUACUAUAGCUUGACACUGAACACUGGUCCUUGAUGUGCAGGAUAGGUGGGAGGCUUUGAAGUGUGGACGCCAGUCUGCACGGAGCCAUCCUUGAAAUACCACCCUUUAAUGGCUGGUGUUCUAACGUGGGCCCGUGACCGGGGUUGCGGACAGUGUCUGGUGGGUAGUUUGACUGGGGCGGUCUCCUCCUAAAGAGUAACGGAGGAGCACGAAGGUUGGCUAAUCCUGGUCGGACAUCAGGAGGUUAGUGCAAUGGCAUAAGCCAGCUUGACUGCGAGCGUGACGGCGCGAGCAGGUGCGAAAGCAGGUCAUAGUGAUCCGGUGGUUCUGAAUGGAAGGGCCAUCGCUCAACGGAUAAAAGGUACUCCGGGGAUAACAGGCUGAUACCGCCCAAGAGUUCAUAUCGACGGCGGUGUUUGGCACCUCGAUGUCGGCUCAUCACAUCCUGGGGCUGAAGUAGGUCCCAAGGGUAUGGCUGUUCGCCAUUUAAAGUGGUACGCGAGCUGGGUUUAGAACGUCGUGAGACAGUUCGGUCCCUAUCUGCCGUGGGCGCUGGAAGAUUGAGGGGGGCUGCUCCUAGUACGAGAGGACCGGAGUGGACGCAUCACUGGUGUUCGGGUUGUCAUGCCAAUGGCACUGCCCGGUAGCUACAUGCGGAAGAGAUAAGUGCUGAAAGCAUCUAAGCACGAAACUUGCCCCGAGAUGAAUCUUCCCUGAGCCUUUAAGGCUCCUGAAGGAACGUUGAAGACGACGACGUUGAUAGGCCGGGUGUGUAAGCGCAGCGAUGCGUUGAGCUAACCGGUACUAAUGAACCGUGAGGCUUAACC
Molecule: ribosomal RNA, 1368 nt
Filed under: Salmonella enterica subsp. houtenae serovar 50:z4,z23:-
Lineage: Bacteria; Pseudomonadati; Pseudomonadota; Gammaproteobacteria; Enterobacterales; Enterobacteriaceae
Description: bacterial LSU rRNA
Rfam family: Bacterial large subunit ribosomal RNA
Source: RNAcentral